UGUGGCUCAAUGGUAGAGCACCUGCCUAGCAUGUGUGAGACACUGAGUUCAAGUCUCAGCA
Molecule: transfer RNA, 61 nt
Filed under: Ictidomys tridecemlineatus (thirteen-lined ground squirrel)
Lineage: Eukaryota; Metazoa; Chordata; Mammalia; Rodentia; Sciuridae
Description: Spermophilus tridecemlineatus (thirteen-lined ground squirrel) tRNA
Rfam family: tRNA
About the family: Transfer RNA (tRNA) molecules are approximately 80 nucleotides in length. Their secondary structure includes four short double-helical elements and three loops (D, anti-codon, and T loops). Further hydrogen bonds mediate the characteristic L-shaped molecular structure. tRNAs have two regions of fundamental functional importance: the anti-codon, which is responsible for specific mRNA codon recognition, and the 3' end, to which the tRNAs corresponding amino acid is attached (by aminoacyl-tRNA synthetases). tRNAs cope with the degeneracy of the genetic code in two manners: having more than one tRNA (with a specific anti-codon) for a particular amino acid; and 'wobble' base-pairing, i.e. permitting non-standard base-pairing at the 3rd anti-codon position.
Source: Rfam by way of RNAcentral